Molecule: ribosomal RNA, 469 nt
Filed under: uncultured bacterium
Lineage: Bacteria
Description: partial 16S ribosomal RNA
Rfam family: Bacterial small subunit ribosomal RNA
Source: RNAcentral
GACGAACGCUGGCGGCGUGCUUAACACAUGCAAGUCGAACGGAAAGGCCCUGCUUGCAGGGUGCUCGAGUGGCGAACGGGUGAGUAACACGUGGGUGAUCUGCCCCUUACUUUGGGAUAAGCCCGGGAAACUGGGUCUAAUACUGGAUAGGACCAUGCUGUAGGUGGUGUGGUGGAAAGAUUAGUUUCGGUAAGGGAUGAGCUCGCGGCCUAUCAGCUUGUUGGUGGGGUAAUGGCCUACCAAGGCGUCGACGGGUAGCCGGCCUGAGAGGGUGGACGGCCACAUUGGGACUGCGACACGGCCCAGACUCCUACGGGAGGCAGCAGUGGGGAAUAUUGCACAAUGGGCGCAAGCCUGAUGCAGCGACGCCGCGUGGGGGGCGACGGCCUUCGGGUUGUAAACUCCUUUCAGCCAUGACGAAGCCCUUGUGGUGACGGUAGUGUUAGAAGAAGCACCGGCUAACUACGUG